Molecule: long non-coding RNA, 1501 nt
Organism: Bubalus bubalis (water buffalo)
Lineage: Eukaryota; Metazoa; Chordata; Mammalia; Artiodactyla; Bovidae
Exons: 2
Source: RefSeq, a predicted model, not a curated record
GGGGAGGCCUCAGUGUCUCCUCUCCUUCGGGAGAACGGAAGGACGCCUGCGGCCUACUUUCCUGUUUCGUCAUGUGGAGACAGGAGAGUUGGGCAGGCAUGGAGGCCUGUGGUACUCAGCCACCAUAACUCCAUCCAGAAAUAGACAGACAGGAGAGGGGUAGCCCUGCUGGAACCGUGUAAGUCCAAGAAAAUGUGUCUCAUUCCUGCAUGGCUUUCCUUCUGAGCUGCACUAAGAAUCUAGCCACCUACCGCCCUACUGUGGACAAACAGCACCCUUGCCAACUCACUAUGUACUUUAAAGGAAGGGGCCAUCUCACUGUGUACCGGAGAGGACUGCAAAGGAGGAAUCUUUGUAAGGACUUUGUAUGGAUUCUAAUUUUACUGCCCAUGUCAUCAUUACACUACACUCUGAAAAUUCUGUUACAUAGGUAUUAUACCUGAGUAGAUUGAUAGUUUAUCUUUAUUUACAACUGUUUUCAAUGAUGUUACACUUUCUCAACAACUCAGUGCUUGCUGAUGAAACACAGUGUCUGUGAACAUUCCACGGCAAUAGCUUUUCCACUACUCCUGCGUUCCUUCCUGCCAUUGCCUUUUCAUCAUCAAUACAGAUGUCUCUAUAUCUUUGCCAAUUUAUUUGAUGUGUUCUAAAAACUGAUCUAAACACUGAAGAAUUCAUUCUCCUGUUGUAUAUGUUUCAAAUGCUUUAUGAAGCAAUAAAUCAAUGUAGGUGAACAUGGACAAUCUACAAAUGUCCUUCCUCUUUUCUUCAUGAACCAUAAAAAUUUCAUAUGUCUUUGUCUAAGGACUAAUUUUUCAAGCAUGUCCAGAGUGCAUUGUUCCUGAGACUAACUUACCAGAUGAUGUUAUUAAUUGUGUUUUUGUGGUAUUGCUUAUACUUACUGCCUUAAUAAUACCUGUUAGUGUUCAUAAACUCAUCUCUAGAAGCAUCUAUACUCUUUUAUGUGCGAUGUUGUAACUUGUUUUCAGAGAACUUUUUAAUGAAUUCUUAAUGUUGGGGCAGUGGAUAAGUCAAAAUUGCGUUUGUAUAUACUUUUCAAUUUCAUUAAUCUGAUCCAUUUACAUCAAAGGAAGCUGAGACCCUCAUUGUUAUGUUUUAUUUUAUUUCAGAAUGAUGUAACUUAGUAGAGACUAUAAAACAUUGUGUUUCCACAAACAUAAGAUGGUCAAAUCUAAACAUUUAAACAUAAAUGGCAACCCACUCCAGUAUUCUUGCCUGGAGAAUCUCAGGGACAGAGGAGCCUUGUGGGCUGCCGUCUAUGGGGUUGCACAGAGUCGGACAUGACUGAAGCGACUUAGCAGCAAUGCCAUUAAAAAUGUAGAAUUUUUAUUCUUUUCCAAUAGAUAUGUAUGAUUAAUGUGGUAAGGGUCCUAGGGUUUCUCUCCUCCAAUAAAGGCUGUUUUUAAAUUGGUUGUUAAAUUUUAGAUAUAAGAAAAUGUGUUAUUCUGUGUGUUUUAACUGCAUAAAACAUAUUGCACUA